RNAcentral lists this ribosomal RNA (499 nucleotides) under uncultured bacterium. RNAcentral describes it as "partial 16S ribosomal RNA". It matches the Rfam family "Bacterial small subunit ribosomal RNA", at positions 28 to 507 of the family's 1533-position model. The record is from RNAcentral.
GAAGAAAGCUGGCGGCGUGCCUAAUACAUGCGAGUCGAGCGAAGAUUUUCUGCUUCUUGCACUAUAAAAACUUAGCGGCGAACGUGUGAGUAAGACGUAAAGAACCUCCCUCAUAGACUGGGACAACUAUUUGAAACUAUUGCUAAUACCGGACAACAGUUUUUCUCGCGUGUGAGAUAUUUAAUAGUUUGUUAUGUUAACACUAUGAGUUUGCUUUGCGGUGCAUUAUCUAGUUGGUGGGGUAAAGGCCCACCAAGGCGACGAUGCGUAGCCGACCUGCGAGGGUGAUCGGCCACACUGGGACUGAGCCGCGGCCCAGACUCCUACGGAAGGCAGAAGUAGGGAAUCGUGCGCAAUGGGCGAAAGCCUGACGGAGCAGCGCCGCGUGAGUGAAGAAGGAUUUCGUUGCGUAAAGCUCUGUUGUUAGGGAAGACUGGAUAUGUAGUAACUAAACAUCUAAGAGACGGUACCUAAACAGAAAGCAACGGCUAACUACGUG